CUGCGGCCUGAGCGUCUGCACCCCUGGAACGCGGCGUGGAGCCCCUCGCAGCAGAGCUGGCCUCCUGAGGAGCCGGUCCUGCAGUUUCCGUCUUAGUCCCGGUUUCGCUGCCUGCAGUGCCUGCGCACAGCGGGGGCUCCGCAAGCAUUUGCCUGGGGUGGUUUUCUCUAGGCAGAAAUUGUGUCCUUUCGGGGGCCCUGCGUGGCUCAGCCGUUGAGCAUCUGCCUCCGGCCCAGGGCGUGACCCCAGGUCCCGGGAUGGAGUCCCCCGUCGGGUCCCGCAGGGAGCCUGCUUCUCCCUCCGCCUGUGCCUCUGCUCCUCUCUCUCUCUCUCUCUCUGUGUGUCUCAUGAAUUAUGUCCUUUGCUUCCUUUGUCCGUCUGCGCUAGAGGCCUGGUUGGUAGGAAUAACGUGACAGACGCCGGACGGGAAAAUUCCUGUGUUUCAGGGAAUGGAAUGUCGCCUGUGACAGGAGCCCCAAAGCCAGGAACCAAAAUUAAUACCGAUAACUGCUUCUUGGGCAGAGGCAGAUCAGGUCCUGUCAGUAAAACUGGAAGAUCUGCAAAACUUUCCUCAGGUCGUGGAAACUCCUAGAAGCACAGAGGUGGCAUUUUAAGAGAGAGAGAAAGCAGGCACAGAUGGAGAAGGAGAGGGAGAAGCAGACGCCCCUCUGAGCGGGGAGCCAGACCGGGGACUCGACCCCAGGACCCUGAGACCACGACCUGAGCUGAGGGCAGACGCGUCACUGCCGGAGCCCCCCGGGCAUCCCCAAGCCUAGUGCAAUUUUACAGCUAAUACGGGAGGCCCAACUUUUAGAACACAAUUAUUUCUAACUUGAAUGUGAGUAGUCUCUAUCGUCGAGCCCUAAAUUGGCCUGGUAAGGCGUCGUCACACGGGGGGACGUCAAGCGUCGUCACACGGGGAGAAAGAACCAGUUUUACGCAAGCCAGACACACACGACCCCUGUCCAUAAACGCGAGGCAUGCACAGAAGCUGCGGGUGCACCAGCAGACAGUCGCUCGGGUACGUGACCCGAGGUACAGGAGCGUUCGGUUCGCGGGCACUGUGCUGUUCUUCUACAGAAGGAAAAAGAAAGAAGGACGAACACCAGUACCAGGAAGAGGAAGUGAAGGAAGGGAGAGGAGCCCCAGGCUUCCCUCCCACUUUGGUGAAGGAGCAGGUGCCAGCAGCGCCUAGGCUCGGUGCUCUGGUGAAGGCACCACAGGAUGCGGACACUGAGGCCGAAUUGGUCGAAGGCGGGUGACCGACAGGCCGCGUGUUACCCAUGCUCCUGCCUAAUAUCUCUGUCUUCCGCAAAGCCCGCCUUGAAAACUCCAACUCUCAUGACUCUCCCUCUUCUACAACCAACACUCACUCAGGCAGGUUUAUAAACUUUAAACAGGUUUAUAGUUUAUAAAACUAUCUUUUUAAGUCUCA
Canis lupus familiaris (dog) is the source of this 1435-nucleotide long non-coding RNA. RefSeq lists it as uncharacterized. The record is from RefSeq and is a predicted model, not a curated record. The transcript is spliced from 2 exons. NCBI's taxonomy places the organism in Eukaryota, Metazoa, Chordata, Mammalia, Carnivora, Canidae.